RNAcentral lists this ribosomal RNA (503 nucleotides) under uncultured bacterium. RNAcentral describes it as "bacterial SSU rRNA". It matches the Rfam family "Bacterial small subunit ribosomal RNA", at positions 28 to 537 of the family's 1533-position model. The record is from RNAcentral.
GACGAACGCUGGCGGCGUGCUUAACACAUGCAAGUCGAACGGACGAGUGAGAUAAGUUUACUUAACUCACAAGUUAGUGGCGGACGGGUGAGUAACACGUGGAUAAUCUACCUGCAACACCGGGAUAACGCUGUGAAAACGGUGCUAAUACCGGAUACGUUCCCUUGUGCGCAUGUAUGAGGGAAGAAAGCUCAGGCGGUUGCAGAUGAGUCCGCGGCUGAUUAGCUAGUUGGUGAGGUAAAGGCUCACCAAGGCGAUGAUCAGUAGCCGGCCUGAGAGGGUGAACGGCCACACUGGGACUGAGACACGGCCCAGACUCCUACGGGAGGCAGCAGUGGGGAAUCUUCCGCAAUGGGCGCAAGCCUGACGGAGCAACGCCGCGUGGGUGAAGAAGGCCUUCGGGUUGUAAAGCCUGUCUUAUUGGAAGAAGGUCGAGUGACGGUACCGAUAGGAGGAAGCCACGGACAACUACGUAGCCAGCAGCCGCGGUAAAAGGUACUCUA